CCUACGGGGGGCAGCAGUGAGGAAUAUUGGUCAAUGGACGAGAGUCUGAACCAGCCAAGUAGCGUGAAGGAUGACUGCCCUAUGGGUUGUAAACUUCUUUUAUAUGGGAAUAAAAUGUUCCACGUGUGGGAUUUUGUAUGUACCAUAUGAAUAAGGAUCGGCUAACUCCGUGCCAGCAGCCGCGGUAAUACGGAGGAUCCGAGCGUUAUCCGGAUUUAUUGGGUUUAAAGGGAGCGUAGGUGGAUUGUUAAGUCAGUUGUGAAAGUUUGCGGCUCAACCGUAAAAUUGCAGUUGAAACUGGCAGUCUGGAGUACAGUAGAGGUAGGCGGAAUUCGUGGUGUAGCGGUGAAAUGCUUAGAUAUCACGAAGAACUCCGAGUGCGAAGGCAGCUCACUGAACUGCAACUGACACUGAGGCUCGAAAGUGUGGGUAUCAAACAGGAUUAGAUACCCCAGUAGUC
Molecule: ribosomal RNA, 460 nt
Filed under: uncultured bacterium
Lineage: Bacteria
Description: partial 16S ribosomal RNA
Rfam family: Bacterial small subunit ribosomal RNA
Source: RNAcentral